RNAcentral lists this ribosomal RNA (808 nucleotides) under Phaeosphaeria hyphaenes. RNAcentral describes it as "Phaeosphaeria sp. JZG-2022a partial large subunit ribosomal RNA". It matches the Rfam family "Eukaryotic large subunit ribosomal RNA", at positions 81 to 908 of the family's 3401-position model. Lineage: Eukaryota; Fungi; Ascomycota; Dothideomycetes; Pleosporales; Phaeosphaeriaceae. The record is from RNAcentral.
UAGUAACGGCGAGUGAAGCGGCAACAGCUCAAAUUUGAAAUCUGGCUCUUUCAGAGUCCGAGUUGUAAUUUGCAGAGGGCGCUUUGGCGUUGGCAGCGGUCCAAGUUCUUUGGAACAGGACGUCACAGAGGGUGAGAAUCCCGUACGUGGUCGCUAGCCUUCGCCGUGUAAAGCCCCUUCGACGAGUCGAGUUGUUUGGGAAUGCAGCUCUAAAUGGGAGGUAAAUUUCUUCUAAAGCUAAAUACUGGCCAGAGACCGAUAGCGCACAAGUAGAGUGAUCGAAAGAUGAAAAGCACUUUGGAAAGAGAGUCAAAUAGCACGUGAAAUUGUUGAAAGGGAAGCGCUUGCAGCCAGACUUGCCUGUAGUUGCUUAUCUGGACUUUUGUCCGGUGCACUCUUCUGCGGGCAGGCCAGCAUCAGUUUGGGCGGUUGGAUAAAGGUCUCUGUCAUGUACCUCCUUUCGGGGAGGCCUUAUAGGGGAGACGACAUGCAACCAGCCUGGACUGAGGUCCGCGCAUCUGCUAGGAUGCUGGCGUAAUGGCUGUAAGCGGCCCGUCUUGAAACACGGACCAAGGAGUCUAACAUCUAUGCGAGUGUUUGGGUGUCAAGCCCAGACGCGUAAUGAAAGUGAACGGAGGUGGGAACCCUUUGGGUGCACCAUCGACCGAUCCUGAUGUCUUCGGAUGGAUUUGAGUAAGAGCAUGGCUGUUGGGACCCGAAAGAUGGUGAACUAUGCUUGAAUAGGGUGAAGCCAGAGGAAACUCUGGUGGAGGCUCGCAGCGGUUCUGACGUGCAAAUCGAUCGUCAA